RNAcentral lists this ribosomal RNA (253 nucleotides) under uncultured bacterium. RNAcentral describes it as "partial 16S ribosomal RNA". It matches the Rfam family "Bacterial small subunit ribosomal RNA", at positions 524 to 776 of the family's 1533-position model. The record is from RNAcentral.
UACGUAGGGGGCUAGCGUUGUCCGGAUUUAUUGGGCGUAAAGAGCGUGUAGGCGGCCUGGUAGGUCUGCUGUGAAAACUCGAGGCUCAACCUCGAGAUGUCGGCGGAAACCAUCUGGCUAGAGUCCGGAAGAGGAGAGUGGAAUUCCCAGUGUAGAGGUGAAAUUCGUAGAUAUUGGGAAGAACACCGGUGGCGAAGGCGGCGACCUGGUCCGAUACUGACGCUGAGGCGCGAAAGCGUGGGGAGCAAACAGG